GGAGAGGUGGCAGAGUGGUCGAAUGUACCUGACUCGAAAUCAGGCGUACGGGCAACCGUACCGUGGGUUCGAAUCCCACCCUCUCCGCCA
Molecule: transfer RNA, 90 nt
Filed under: Bordetella sp.
Lineage: Bacteria; Pseudomonadati; Pseudomonadota; Betaproteobacteria; Burkholderiales; Alcaligenaceae
Also listed under: 3 other names
Description: tRNA-Ser
Rfam family: tRNA
About the family: Transfer RNA (tRNA) molecules are approximately 80 nucleotides in length. Their secondary structure includes four short double-helical elements and three loops (D, anti-codon, and T loops).
Source: RNAcentral